This 253-nucleotide ribosomal RNA is filed under the name uncultured bacterium. Its description in RNAcentral is "partial 16S ribosomal RNA". It matches the Rfam family "Bacterial small subunit ribosomal RNA", at positions 524 to 776 of the family's 1533-position model. The record is from RNAcentral.
UACGUAGGGUGCAAGCGUUGUCCGGAAUUAUUGGGCGUAAAGAGCUCGUAGGCGGUCUGUCGCGUCUGCUGUGAAAACUCGGGGCUUAACCCCGGGCCUGCAGUGGGUACGGGCAGACUAGAGUGCGGUAGGGGGGACUGGAAUUCCUGGUGUAGCGGUGAAAUGCGCAGAUAUCAGGAGGAACACCGGUGGCGAAGGCGGGUCUCUGGGCCGUAACUGACGCUGAGGAGCGAAAGCGUGGGGAGCGAACAGG